AUGUACUGAGUACUGCGAAGAAGGGGGGAUAAACAAAACGCCCACAUAAGCGGGCGUUGUUGUUGAUA
Molecule: small RNA, 68 nt
Organism: Salmonella enterica subsp. enterica serovar Typhimurium
Lineage: Bacteria; Pseudomonadati; Pseudomonadota; Gammaproteobacteria; Enterobacterales; Enterobacteriaceae
Rfam family: Salmonella enterica sRNA STnc350
Source: Rfam